CGACAAGCUAGAUAAGGGCGUAUGGGGAAUGCCUAGGCUCUCAGAGGCGAUGAAGGACGCGAUAAGCUGCGAAAAGCUGCGGGGAUCGGCACAUACGAUAUGAUCCGCAGGUAUCCGAAUGGGGCAACCCAGCAUGUUGAAGACAUGUUAUCCGCAAGGAGGCAAACCCGGUGAACUGAAACAUCUAAGUAGCCGGAGGAGGAGAAAACAAAAGUGAUUCCGGGAGUAGCGG
Molecule: ribosomal RNA, 232 nt
Filed under: Zobellia galactanivorans
Lineage: Bacteria; Pseudomonadati; Bacteroidota; Flavobacteriia; Flavobacteriales; Flavobacteriaceae
Description: partial 23S ribosomal RNA
Rfam family: Bacterial large subunit ribosomal RNA
Source: RNAcentral